RNAcentral lists this ribosomal RNA (230 nucleotides) under uncultured bacterium. RNAcentral describes it as "partial 16S ribosomal RNA". It matches the Rfam family "Bacterial small subunit ribosomal RNA", at positions 104 to 334 of the family's 1533-position model. The record is from RNAcentral.
CGGGGUGAGUAAUGUCUGGGAAACGUGCCUGAUGGAGGGGGAUAACUGCUGGAAACGGUAGCUAAUACCGCAUAACGUCGCAAGACCAAAGAGGGGGACCUUCGGGCCUCUUGCCAUCGGAUGUGCCCAGAUGGGAUUAGCUAGUAGGUGGGGUAACGGCUCACCUAGGCGACGAUCCCUAGCUGGUCUGAGAGGAUGGCCAGCCACACUGGAACUGAGACACGGUCCAG